This is a long non-coding RNA of Thalassophryne amazonica, 476 nucleotides long. RefSeq lists it as uncharacterized. The transcript has 3 exons. NCBI's taxonomy places the organism in Eukaryota, Metazoa, Chordata, Actinopteri, Batrachoidiformes, Batrachoididae. The record is from RefSeq and is a predicted model, not a curated record.
CGUUCACGGGUGACCAGCAAAGUCACGCGGGGAUCAGAAUUUGUCACCUCCCCGCCGGCGCGCGGCAUUGCGCGCCUCCUCAUCUAAAUAGGGCAUCGGGACGGUGAUCUGGGUGCUUUCUAUAUUUAUUCUCCUGUCCCAAAGAGCCCGGUCCGCCCCUUCCGUGCGCGGACUUUAUAAGAACGACAGAGGUUCGGCACUGGUUUGGCACAAGACUUCCAGAGCAGGACAUGUAGCGCACAAAAUGUAGCCAGUGUCCAGGGCUGCAAACAUGUGAGAUUUAACGAAGACGGGGGUCUUUAAGUGGUUUUUACAGCUGUUGUCUUCCCCUGAAGCCCCACUCUUCCACUCUGAGGAGUAAAUGAUAGAUCCAGAUCAUGGGGAGACAAUACAGGGAUGUUUCUCAUCCUCACCUUAUGAAAGGUCUGGAGAUGGCCAGGAUGGUCCUGAUGAACCAUGUGGGAUGAACAAUGAGC